Molecule: ribosomal RNA, 334 nt
Filed under: uncultured bacterium
Lineage: Bacteria
Description: bacterial SSU rRNA
Rfam family: Bacterial small subunit ribosomal RNA
Source: RNAcentral
CGCGUAGGCGGGAUGGUCAAGUCGGUCGUGAAAUCCUUCGGCUCAACCGAAGAACGUCGAUCGAUACUGCUGUUCUUGAGGAUUGCAGAGGAGACUGGAAUUCCCGGUGUAGCGGUGAAAUGUGUAGAGAUCGGGAGGAACACCGGUGGCGAAGGCGGGUCUCUGGGCAAUUCCUGACGCUGAGGCGCGAAAGCGUGGGGAGCAAACGGGAUUAGAUACCCCGGUAGUCCACGCUGUAAACGAUGACGACUAGGUGUGGGGGGGUUCAGUCCCCUCCGUGCCGCAGCUAACGCAUUAAGUCGUCCGCCUGGGGAGUACGGGCCGCAAGGUUGAA